ACGAUUCUCUGCGUGACACCUGUAUGCGAUCUAUCAACGAGAGUAGAAGCCGAUUGGAGCCUUCGCCCCCACAAAAGAAGUGCAGGUUAGAAGCGGCUUUCUCUCUGCGCAGGAGUCUCAUCUCCACAAAGCGGGGACCUUCCAGGCGAUCACCCAAGAUCCUUUGUCGAUCAAAUCACAGAAUAUAUAGUGUUCUUCCUAUCAGGGAGUUGCAAGGCGCAUGGAGAAACUUGUCGAAGUUUUGAUCGCCAUUGGAGACGAGACAGGCUGCAUCUCAGUCGUGAAACGUUUCCAUCCUUCGCACACUCGCGCGCUUCAUACCAAGAGAGUUAUUGAAGGCAAGCACCAUGGCACCGGCAUUUCGGGGAUGGACAGUUUGGAACCGGCACAUCCCAACCUGUCGUUUCAGCGGAAGAGGAAGCUCGACGUUGUCCCGGAUACAUCCAAGAGGAAAAGAGGGAGCAGUACUUGAAGUUAACGCUACAGGAGCCGUGUUGGCUUUUCCUUAUCAAGUAGUCACUGCAAAACAGGCAGCAAGGGAAGGUUUUGAAGAGUGAGGAGCUCAAAGAGAAGAACGGCUGCUAUCUUGCCAAUUCUCGCGUUCUCUUCUCAGCAGCGAGACUUCUGCCAAGCUGACAGAUGAUCUUCUUCUCAGAAGUCGAAGACAGCCAUGCACAUGAACGUCGAAGCACUCGGCUACGGAGCCUGAUCAAAGGCGAGGAGGCGGUGGCCGAUUGUCCCAAGAACUUGACACAACCUUUCAUCAUCAACAGCUCGCGUUUAGAGGUCGAAGUCGAUCCCGAGGCUUCAGGUAUCGCGCACUGCCGGCUGCUUGGCAUAUCUGGCUUCUGAGAGCUCGGCCUCAGCUAGUGAGGUGACGCAGUUUAUGCAAGACAGUGGACUAUAUACGGUAUUCUCGAGCG
This is a long non-coding RNA of Selaginella moellendorffii, 923 nucleotides long. RefSeq lists it as uncharacterized. The record is from RefSeq and is a predicted model, not a curated record. Lineage: Eukaryota; Viridiplantae; Streptophyta; Lycopodiopsida; Selaginellales; Selaginellaceae. The transcript has 2 exons.